GACGAACGCUGGCGGCGUGCCUAAUACAUGCAAGUUGAGCGCUGAAGGUUGGUACUUGUACCAACUGGAUGAGCAGCGCACGGGUGAGUAACGCGUGGGGAAUCUGCCUUUGAGCGGGGGACAACAUUUGGAAACGAAUGCUAAUACCGCAUAAAAACUUUAAACACAAGUUUUAAGUUUGAAAGAUGCAAUUGCAUCACUCAAAGAUGAUCCCGCGUUGUAUUAGCUAGUUGGCGAGGUAAAGGCUCACCAAGGCGAUGAUACAUAGCCGACCUGAGAGGGUGAUCGGCCACAUUGGGACUGAGACACGGCCCAAACUCCUACGGGAGGCAGCAGGAGGGAAUCUUCGGAAAUGGACGAAAGUCUGACCGAGCAACGCCGCGUGAGUGAAGAAGGUUGUCGGAUCGUAAAACUCGGUUGGUAGAGAAGAACGUUGGUGAGAGUGGAAAGCUCAUCAAGUGACGGUAACUACACAGAAAGGGACGGCUAACUACGUG
This 497-nucleotide ribosomal RNA is filed under the name uncultured bacterium. RNAcentral's name for it is "partial 16S ribosomal RNA". It matches the Rfam family "Bacterial small subunit ribosomal RNA", at positions 28 to 507 of the family's 1533-position model. The record is from RNAcentral.